This is a non-coding RNA of Chelonoidis abingdonii (Abingdon island giant tortoise), 126 nucleotides long. Lineage: Eukaryota; Metazoa; Chordata; Testudines; Testudinidae. The record is from RefSeq and is a predicted model, not a curated record.
UUAGACUCUUGAAAUACUGGGAUUGGAUGGUUCAGGAAAAUGAAUUCUAUUACGCUACUGUAAAACCACCUCUGACUGGGCCGAUCCAAAGCAGUGAUAACAAGUCUGAGAGGUCUGAACCAGAAA